Molecule: long non-coding RNA, 5261 nt
Filed under: Gallus gallus (chicken)
Lineage: Eukaryota; Metazoa; Chordata; Aves; Galliformes; Phasianidae
Description: lncRNA (ENSGALG00010008818.1)
Source: RNAcentral
CGGCGCGGCGGCGUGGGGAGGGAGGUAGGAGCCGAGAGCCGAGGCGGCCGGCUCUGCGGUGACUGGGGAUCCUCGGGCCCUGCCCGCCGUCUGAGGGGGUCACCUGCGCGGCCGUGCGCUGGAGUCACCGAGGAGUCCCGCCGUGCCGGUGGGCGGGGGAGCGUGUCGAGGAGACUCGCGCAGCCCGGGACAGGCACAGAUGGAAGGUCAGCGCUUGUGAAGCUUUGUGCGCCCGGGGCAGAGGGGUCUUUUUUGGAGUCCUUCUAAAGCUUCACGCUGGCUUCAUCAGACUGUUUCUGCAUUUCUCUUAAUUUGCACUGCAUUGUGGAUUCCUCACAAAGAAAAGAAAAUAGAAUAACCUCAUGCCACUUAAUACCACUGAGGUGAUGUCAACUGUUCAAAUUAGUAGAAGAAUUGGAAGCUGAUCUCACAUGCAAAAUCUUUACCUUGUGAAUUAUUCUGCAAGACUAGUUAUAUUUGUUCUAGAUAAAGUGCUAUGCGAAAACACUGUUUCUGAGAAAUAUCUAUAGCAUCAAGAGAAGUAAUUGGACUGUUGGAAGCAGAGGAGUGUUGGUACAAGUUUUGAUGUCUUGUUCUCCUCCACUAACCUUUGUCACAGUGGAAGGAAGGGAUGCCAUUCAGAGGGACCUCAACAGACCUGAAAGCUUCAUAGUCAUUCUCUGGGAUGCUUCUGCUUUGACUUCUGCAGCCUUCCUCCUUUUAAUCCUGUGCCUGGAUGAAGACUAUCAGAUACCACCCCGGUGUGGCUGGGAAAGGAACAUCCAUUCCAUCAGCUCUGCUUCUUGCCUCCUUGCUGGCAGGUACAUGUCUGUGAGUAGCACAGGGGAAACAAGAAGGUCAGCCUCUGGCUUCUCAACGUGCACUGGGUGUAAGGCUGUCAGAGUGUUGCAAACUGUCCUGUCAGGUGUCUUCAAAGUUCUGUUAAUUUAUUUGUUUCUGACUUAGAAGCAAGAGCAAGUUAGUAGAGCUGGUAAUAUAUAGAUAUUUUUUAAUAAUGGCUCUGAGUUAGUUGCAGUGUGUUUUAGAUGAUGUGAUAUUUUCUUCUUUUGUUUUCUAUUACAAAGUACUAUUACAAAGUAUUAAAAUAUUUUGUCCAGAAGUACCUGACAAGUACCAAGAACACAGUUUAAUCUCCCCAUCUUCCCAAGGAAUCCUGUAUCUGUUGUGGUUGUAAACACUGACAAUUAGACUGGCUAAUACACAUAAAUGUGUUUAGAUUAGAGGUAAGAAAAUUGCUUAUUGAUCAUUCUUGAGUAGCUUUUCCCACAGAAGCCAGGAUGUUUUCUACUUGGAAACAUUUUGCGAGGGUAAAACACAUUUAUACAAGCAAGAAUUGUUAGGUAUUCCUCAGCAAUUGCCUUUCAGAGUGUUUAAAUCAUUCUCUAAACUCAAACCGAUAUAAAAUCACCUCUCAAAAGAAUGAAACAUUGCGAUGUUGCAAGAAAUUGCAUAAAGGCAUCCUUUGAAUAAUGACAUCUGCUGCCAUUUGUUUAUGCACGACUGUACAUCUAUAGCAACUGAAAGGCAAAGGUGUCUCUGGAGGUUUAUCCAAUGAGGCACUGUUAUGAGCAUAUGUGAACACGAUGAACUGACUGUGUUUUUCCUGUCUGCACUAGAUCCAGCACCAAGGUAUGAGGAAUGAAGGCAUUUCUACCAGCACAAAGUCAGAUUGUUUUUCUAACAGAUAUGGGAGUCAUAUAGACUGUUAUGUUAGUUUUUAAUAUUGUCUUCAUAGAUAACUUCACUGGGUUUUAUACAAAUGGAAUAAACUUGGUCCAAAAAGCUUUGACUCCAGUGCACCACAAGUUUGAGUUACAGCUGACUUUCACAUAGUGCUUGUACAUAAUAUCUCUGUUCAUGCACUUGAUAUCAAGUUUAUGGACAGGAAAGCAGAACAAGGAAGAAUAUGAAACAACUUCUACUGCAGGGACUAGCACUCCCUUGAUCCAUAGUGACCAAACCGAAUCAUAUCAAACAAAACAGUGCUUUUCAGUGACAAUCUUUCUCUGCAUCCAAGUUAAGGAUAAUAGGACUGACCUCUCGUUAAAUACUUUAAUAUCUACUGAUUAAAGAAGCAAGAUGGCCUAUCAGCUGCUGUGAAACUUUGGAGUGAAAUAAUGCUUCAAAACAUAAGUGUUUCAUUUGCUUGAUUGUUCUGAAUAAGUUCUGCUGAGGCAUUAGCAUCCUUGAAAAAAUAUAUGUGAUAAAUCAUUAACUACAAAAUUAAAUUUCACUAUUUUGAACUUAUUUUUCCAUUAGCUCAAACAACUAGUAAACACACAAAAUAUUCUUGAAAGAAAAUGAGUUCUUGGAGAUUUUUACAUUGCACCUAAGAAUCUUGAACUUUAUUUCAGAAGGGGCCUGUAAAUUGCAGAUCUCCAGAAUAAAAAUAAGAGAGACUAUUUUUUUUUUCUAUAGCUUUUCUAAAAGUUGUAGUUAAAUUAUCUUAAGGAACAUUUCUACUCAAUUCCAGAAUAAACAGAUCUUGAUGUCUCAGUAUGCUGAGACAUAGGAGGAUUGAAAUAGAAUGAUUAUGUCCCAAGACAAUGAGAUUGGGAUUCAAAGUAUUACACACUUACAAAUGAGUGAUACGAAAGGAGAGCCAUCCUGUUUUCAUCACAAGUCCUGUCUGACCUAAGCCCUUAUAUCUUUAGAAACGGGAGGAAUGAAGUAUAAUCUUCAGGUUCAUUGUGUGGAUUGUUGCUGUGUCUGCUUUGUGAGCUAGAAACAGGUAAAAUCAUAUGCUCUUGAAUAGUAUUUUAACAAGCACAGCUGCAGGGGAAUGUAGGUAGAGUAGCUGGGAGUAAAGAAUCUUGUCCAUUAGAGCUGCUAAGGGGGGAAAUAUAAGGUGGAACAUUUUUAUAAUAAGAUUUUCAUCAUGGCUUUUAUAAAGCCAUAGUAAACAAGCUAAAUAUGAAAUAAAAUCACAGCUGAUGUCAAACUGCUUGUAUAGAAGCUCCUAACAAAUGCAAACCUGAAACGUCUGUACAUGAUUUAGAAACUAACAAAUCCCCCUGAAAGAGUUGCCAUCAGACUUAAACUGUGAAGCAAAUAAAGACAUCCGAGUAGAUUUUCUAAUUGCCUGGAUAGGAUGUAUGGUGUUAAGCAUUCAAAGAUUCAAAGGAAGAACAGUACUUGGUGGGAGCUACAGUGCCUGUGAGAUAGGCAGCAAAUGGCUAUCUGCUGUGAAUAUAUAUUUCAGUGCUAGUUAAAGAUCAAUUCAUGCUAAGGUGGAUGGCUUUGUUUAUUUUUGGAUAUUAAAACUGCACAAUUUCUGACUUAGGUCUGAGAGCGCUGCUUGCAUUGCUUUUCUUUUAUGAUGGUAUUGCUGAUCUAUUUUCCCUGUCUUGAUAAUGGUUACGGUAAGAAUAAAUCUUUAUCUAUUUGCUAGGCAGGAUUUGAUUUAUAAGUUAGAUAUGGAAGAUAUGUAAGUUCUGAUAAUCUUAUUAAGAUUCUUUUUGCUUAAUGUAGCCCUGCUGCAUGCUACCAGGUUGUAUUUCAAUACAGUAUUUUAAUGUGUGACAGUUAAGAUCUGUUAGCUCUGAUGAAGCAGGCUCAGAAUAUUGCUUCAGCUGACUACCAUCUGAAUGGAAUCUCAGUAAUCCAAUGCCUGAUAAAAAAUAACUUCAAAGUAUGUUGGAAAAUGCUCCUUUUUUGAGUUUGCGUGUUAUUACUUAGUAAGGUAUUAAUCCUUCUUUUCCACUGAACACUAGUUAUACUACAAGACUUUAAGCUAAGAGACUAGUCCAAUUAUUUUUAGGAAUAGAGAAGGUACAAGAUAGGAAAAGAUAAGUCGUAAUGAAUCUAACUACCAAAAAUAUUGGAAAACUGGAUAGUUCUGGCAAUGUACAUUUUGAACUGAGAAACUGACAGCGCACUGAAGAAGAUUGGAAGAUGGUACCUAAUUUUUAAAAAUGUAAUGUUAUUCCCUAGGCAUUAGUAUUAAGACUUUUAUGCUCCUACUUCUUUUUCAUCAUUUCAAUUUCUCCUUCCCUUCUCUACUCCCAUGUUUUCUGAAUGUGCUGUUUUCACCAGAAUUCUCAGACAUAUGUAAAUGGCCAUUUUUAAGGCAUUUUUACUGCUCAGAUGUCCAAAAGUGAUUACUUUUUUCAACUCUUUUCUCUGUCUCAGAGCUUGCAUGUGAUUUUUUUUGUGUGUGUUCUUUUGUUGUUGUUAUUUGUGUUUGAUUUCAUUAAACACAUUAUUUUCAGAUGAGUCAGUGAAUGAGAAAGUCUUAUAACACUGUUCUUUCGAAUGGGAGCUGGAUGUUCUCUCUCAUUUUGAAUAAUUAAUUAGCAGUAAUUUAAUGAGCACUAGCUUCCAUAAACAGACUUCAGGAUUUUCUUAUUUAUCUUUUGCUUAUCUUUUACAUAUAUCAGCCAGUGUUCUGAUGCCUCUUAGCGGUACCCAGUUGUUCUUUGCUCGAUCCCAGCCCAAUCUACAAGCAUCAUUACAUUGAUGAAAGAGUAAUCAAUUCUGAUUACUAGUGGUAGAGGACUAAUGAAUGAGAUAUUACUAUGCCUGUUCUGUAAAUGCUGCAUGGAGUUUAGAUGGCUGUGUUGUACAGGAGAUCUUGGAGGUGUAGAUGAUACCACUGAGAUGAUACAUCUUGGGUUAAAGUAGAUUUGUACGUGCUUAGCAGGAUACCGUUAUCUUGUCUGUUAGCUGUCUGGAUUUUAGAUGUCUGAUUAUUGUUCUUUAGGUGGAACAGAUUAAACAUUUUCCGCUCAAGUGAAAAACAUCUGUCUCAUUUUUCCUUGUGAAGGAAUUGCCCACAGUUUUUACAUUUACGAGAUCAUGGGGGAGUGGAAUGGAACCUGAUGGGCUUGGAUGCUGUGCUAUGUUGUUUUUUGUUGUUGUUGUUGUUUGUUUGCUUUAAGUUUACUAUGGAAACUGUUCAUUCUUCAAAUGCAAAAUUCUACGGAAGCAAUAAGGGUACAGUCAUUCAUUUCCUCACUUUUUUUUUUUUUAACUUGUCUAAACACUAAUUGUUAGAUAUGUGUGGGAAAUAGGGAAAACAGGAUACUGGAGUCUGUGAGCUGCUUAUUAACUGUUGUUCUCUCUCUAAGUGUGGAGUUUCCAAUAUUCCAUUCAGAAACGACGGAGUUCUUAGUUGUUAAUGUCAGUAGGCGCUGGAUUUGCUCUGGUGUUUGUACUGAUCCCAGGGCAGUUCCUACUGAAAAAAAAAAACCCGAUGUUAGUUGGCAGCAAGCUGCUUCUGUUGUUCCCUUCCUGUCCCA